This 458-nucleotide ribosomal RNA is filed under the name uncultured bacterium. RNAcentral describes it as "bacterial SSU rRNA". It matches the Rfam family "Bacterial small subunit ribosomal RNA", at positions 28 to 506 of the family's 1533-position model. The record is from RNAcentral.
GACGAACGCUGGCGGCGUGCUUAACACAUGCAAGUCGAGCGCUGAAGCCUCUUCGGGGGUGGAUGAGCGGCGAACGGGUGAGUAACACGUGGGUGACCUGCCCUCAGCUCUGGGAUAAGCCUGGGAAACUGGGUCUAAUACCGGAUAGGACCUUCUGUUGCAUGACAGUGGGUGGAAAGUUUUUUCGGCUGGGGAUGGGCCCGCGGCCUAUCAGCUUGUUGGUGGGGUGAUGGCUUACCAAGGCGACGACGGGUAGCCGGCCUGAGAGGGCGACCGGCCACACUGGGACUGAGACACGGCCCAGACUCCUACGGGAGGCAGCAGUGGGGAAUAUUGGACAAUGGGCGAAAGCCUGAUCCAGCCAUGCCGCGUGAGUGAAGAAGGCCUUAGGGUUGUAAAGCUCUUUCAGCGGGGACGAUAAUGACGGUACCCGCAGAAGAAGCCCCGGCUAACUUCGU